UGGGGAAUAUUGGACAAUGGGCGAAAGCCUGAUCCAGCCAUGCCGCGUGUGUGAAGAAGGUCUUCGGAUUGUAAAGCACUUUAAGUUGGGAGGAAGGGCAGUAAGCGAAUACCUUGCUGUUUUGACGUUACCGACAGAAUAAGCACCGGCUAACUCUGUGCCAGCAGCCGCGGUAAUACAGAGGGUGCAAGCGUUAAUCGGAAUUACUGGGUGUAAAGCGCGCGUAGGUGGUUCGUUAAGUUGGAUGUGAAAGCCCCGGGCUCAACCUGGGAACUGCAUCCAAAACUGGCGAGCUAGAGUAGGGCAGAGGGUGGUGGAAUUUCCUGUGUAGCGGUGAAAUGCGUAGAUAUAGGAAGGAACACCAGUGGCGAAGGCGACCACCUGGGCUCAUACUGACACUGAGGUGCGAAAGCGUGGGGAGCAAACAGG
RNAcentral lists this ribosomal RNA (429 nucleotides) under Acidobacteriota bacterium. RNAcentral's name for it is "Acidobacteria bacterium partial 16S ribosomal RNA". It matches the Rfam family "Bacterial small subunit ribosomal RNA", at positions 355 to 776 of the family's 1533-position model. The record is from RNAcentral. Lineage: Bacteria; Pseudomonadati; Acidobacteriota.